Molecule: long non-coding RNA, 380 nt
Organism: Sinocyclocheilus rhinocerous
Lineage: Eukaryota; Metazoa; Chordata; Actinopteri; Cypriniformes; Cyprinidae
Exons: 3
Source: RefSeq, a predicted model, not a curated record
GGGCGCUGCUGGCUUCAGAAGCUUCAAGUCGUCUUGUUUCUUCUUGGUCAUGCUACUGUAAGUUUGUGAAAGUCCAGCGAAGGCCUCCUGGUGCAUAAUCGUUAUCGGCUUUAAGAGAGCUUGGUGAGAACAAACGGUGGGAUGGAAAACGACAGCCAAUUAUUCCUCUCGUCAACCGGGGUGGAAUCAGGUUGGAGAGGCUGUGCCAUCUGUGAUACUGCUGGAGUGCAGAGUUAAUAAGCCCCAGUGUAGAUCAAACGCACAACGCUGAAGCUUACACACGAAAGCCAUGUACACACAUUCUCACAUGCACACAAAUAUUCAAAUGCAAUGCUAGGUUGCCUUGAUGAAUGCUGGCCAAUUUGUGGCUAUUGACUUAA